Molecule: ribosomal RNA, 585 nt
Filed under: bacterium endosymbiont of Onthophagus Taurus
Lineage: Bacteria
Description: bacterial SSU rRNA
Rfam family: Bacterial small subunit ribosomal RNA
Source: RNAcentral
GAGGGGGAUAACUACUGGAAACGGUAGCUAAUACCGCAUAACGUCGCAAGACCAAAGAGGGGGACCUUCGGGCCUCUUGCCAUCGGAUGUGCCCAGAUGGGAUUAGCUAGUAGGUGGGGUAACGGCUCACCUAGGCGACGAUCCCUAGCUGGUCUGAGAGGAUGACCAGCCACACUGGAACUGAGACACGGUCCAGACUCCUACGGGAGGCAGCAGUGGGGAAUAUUGCACAAUGGGCGCAAGCCUGAUGCAGCCAUGCCGCGUGUAUGAAGAAGGCCUUCGGGUUGUAAAGUACUUUCAGCGGGGAGGAAGGGAGUAAAGUUAAUACCUUUGCUCAUUGACGUUACCCGCAGAAGAAGCACCGGCUAACUCCGUGCCAGCAGCCGCGGUAAUACGGAGGGUGCAAGCGUUAAUCGGAAUUACUGGGCGUAAAGCGCACGCAGGCGGUUUGUUAAGUCAGAUGUGAAAUCCCCGGGCUCAACCUGGGAACUGCAUCUGAUACUGGCAAGCUUGAGUCUCGUAGAGGGGGGUAGAAUUCCAGGUGUAGCGGUGAAAUGCGUAGAGAUCUGGAGGAAUACCGGUGGC